This 3313-nucleotide ribosomal RNA is filed under the name Panicum hallii var. hallii. RNAcentral describes it as "eukaryotic LSU rRNA". The stretch from base 380 to 3300 matches the Rfam family "Eukaryotic large subunit ribosomal RNA". Lineage: Eukaryota; Viridiplantae; Streptophyta; Magnoliopsida; Poales; Poaceae. The record is from RNAcentral.
ACGACUCUCGGCAACGGAUAUCUCGGCUCUCGCAUCGAUGAAGAACGUAGCAAAAUGCGAUACUUGGUGUGAAUUGCAGAAUCCCACGAACCAUCAAGUUUUUGAACGCAAGUUGCGCUCGAGGCCUUCUGGUUGAGGGCAUGCCUGCCUGGGCGUCACGCCAAAAGACACUCCCAACCCAUCCUUGGGUAGGGACAUGGUGUUUGGCUCCCCGUGCCUCAUGGUGUGGUGGGUUGAAGUUGGGGUUGCCGGCAUACUGUGUCGGGCACCUGCAUGUGGUGGGCAACAUAAGUUGUUCUCGGUGUAGUGUCCUGGCGCGCAGCUAGCUCCUUGGCCUAAAGGACCCAUUCACGCCCGUAGCGCCUUGGUGCUCGGACCGCGACCCCAAGUCAGACGGGACUACCCGAUGAGUUUAAGCAUAUAAAUAAGCGGAGAAGAAGAAACUUACAAGGAUUCCCCUAGUAACGGCGAGUGAACCGGGAGUAGCCCAGCUUGAGAAUCGGGUAGCCUCACUACCCGAAUUGUAGUCUGGAGAGGCGUCCUCAGAGACGGACCGGGCCCAAGUUUCCUGGAAAGGGACGCCUGGAGGGUGAGAGCCCCGUCUGGCCCGGACCCUGUCUCACCACGAGGCGCCGUCAACGAGUCGGGUUGUUUGGGAAUGCAGCCCAAAUCGGGCGGUAAACUUCGUCCAAGGCUAAGGGCCUGUUUGGGACUGCUCUGCUUCACAAAUCACAGCUCAGCUUCAUAAACUUCACGGCAGAGCAGCUCAGCUUUGAAGUUGCAGAGUUUUUUAAAGUGUUUGGCUAGCUGACCAACUUCAGCUUUAGAAAAAUGAUAUUUGGAUUGGAAAAGUCCCUUAUACCCUUGAACGAUGUAUGAGAUGAUUUCAUUUAUGAUUUUUCAUCUAAACGCUCAAUUAAAAAAUAACAGUACAUUAUAAAUAGAUAAUAAAGUAGUAAUAGAAAGUUAUAUAGUGAGUACAAAUUACAAUAUUCAUAAAUAUUCCAAAAUAAUUCCAUUACAUAUCAAGUCUCAAUGAUCUACUACUACUACAUCCAACUUUGAGAAAUAGUCGUUGCUAAUGCAUAAUGAAAAAUAUCCAUAGUAGGCGCAUUGGGUACUGGAGAUGAUCCAUCCGAGGGGACUGCAUACUUGUUAUACCAAUUUUGGAAGACUAGAGAGGCGGGCAAGGCCACUGGUGCCUCCCUUGUAGCUGCCCGCACCGGCCCUCCCAGUGCCUUCCCUACUGCCGGCCGCGCCACCCGCGCCGGCCGCGCCGCCGGCGCCCUGGGCCGCCCCGGCCGCGCCCUGACCUGCGCCGCCAGUGCCCUGAGCCGCCGCGCCGCUCGCGCCCCGAGCAGCCGCGCCGCCCGCGCCACCCGAGCCCGAAGCAGCCGCGCUGCCCGCGCCCCGAGCCGCCGCGCCGCCCGAGCUGCCCGCGCCCUGAGCCGCGCCGCGGGGCGUGCCGCCCGCGCCCUGGGCAGCUGUGCCGCUCGCGCCUCUGCCUCGGCCCCUGCUGCCGCGUCCAUGGCCAGCAACCUCCAGUGGCAUGGACAUGGCCGGCGGCUAGGGUUUUGGGGGAGCGGAUAGAGGAAAAAUGGGGGCGCUCGGAAAGGACAGAGAGGAAGAGCCGGGGGGGGGUCGCGGGUACGGGAAAGAACAGAAGAGAAGAAAACGUUUCAUUCCGAGUGUGUAAUCAGUGGCAUUGGUGGGUAAUUUUCCCCCAACUUCAUGAGGGAGUUCAAAACGACUAUUCAUGAAGUACCAUUUUGGCUGCUUCAUGGAUUUCGUGAAGUUGAGGCCAACUUCACGUUUUUUGGUGAAGCUGAGCUGGUGAAGCUGUAGGUGUUUGGCUACAGUUUCAUGAAGCGAAGUUGAAUUUGGUGAAGUGAAGCAGUCCCAAACAGGCCCUAAAUACAGGCGAGAGACCGAUAGCAAACAAGUACCGCGAGGGAAAGAUGAAAAGGACUUUGAAUAGAGAGUCAAAGAGUGCUUGAAAUUGCCGGGAGGAAAGCGAAUGGGGGCCGGCGAUGCGCCCCGAUCGUAUGCGGAACGGCUUCUGCUGGUCUGCCGAUCGGCUCGGGGCGUGGACUGUUGUCGGCUGCACCGGCGGCCUAAGCCUGGGGGCCUUAGGUGCCUCCAGUGCUGUCGUCAGCACGGCCGGUUCUCGCGCGCCUAAAGGCGUGUCCCUCGGGAUGCUGCGCUGCAACGGCCUGCGGGCUCCCCAUUCGACCCGUCUUGAAACAUGGACCAUGGAGUCUGACGUGCGUGCGAAUCGACGGGUUCUUAAACCUGGGAUGCGCAAGGAAGCUGACGAGCGGGAGGCCCUCACAAGCCUACGCAGAGAGGCUGCUGGUGUUGAUCGUUUUGACGAUCUUGCUGCACGCUCUAGCACGUUCGAGUGUGUGACCAGAUUUUGCUUCAACAGCCAGAUCCGACGGUAAACGGGCUAAUGGGCUUGGACUCGGAGGGUGGGAGGGGGAUUUUCCAGCUGGACUGCUAUAGCCUCAACACGUGCCGGGAAAAAAUUAUAGUGUGCUAUUGCUUGAAUGUUCCAGAUAACGCAAGUGUCCUAAGAUGAGCUCAACGAGAACAGAAAUCUCGUGUGGAACAAAAGGGUAAAAGCUUGUUUGAUUCUGAUUUCCAGUAUGAAUACGAAUCGUGAAAGCGUGGCCUAUUGAUCCUUUAGAUCUUUGGAGUUUGAAGCUAGAGGUGUCAGAAAAGUUACCACAGGGAUAACUGGCUUGUGGCAGCCAAGCGUUCAUAGCGAUGUUGCUUUUUGAUCCUUCGAUGUCGGCUCUUCCUAUCAUUGUGAAGUAGAAUUCACCAAGUGUUGGAUUGUUCACCCACCAAUAGGGAACGUGAGCUGGGUUUAGAUCGUCGUGAGAUAGGUUAGUUUUACCCUACUGAUGACUGUGCCGUGAUAGUAAUUCAACCUAGUACGAGAGGAACCGUUGAUUCACACAAUUGGUCAUCGCGCUUAAUUGAAAAGCCAGUGGCACGAAGCUACCGUGUGUCGGAUUAUGACUGAACGCCUCUAAGUCAGAAUCCAAGCUAGCAACCGGUGCCUGUGCCCGCCGCUCGCCCGGACCCACAUUAGGGCGUUCGCACCCCAAGGGCCCGUGCCAUUGGCUCAGCCUGCCCGGCCGAUGAGCUGUGGCAAGCCGCCUCGAAGCUCCCUUUCUCAUGGGCGGCGGGCUGAUCCUUGCAGACGACUUAAAUAUGCGACAGGGCAUUGUAAGUGGCAAGCGGCCUUGCUGCCACGAUCCACUGAGAUCUAGCCCGCGUCGCACGGAUUGUCCUCCGCACGGCU